RNAcentral lists this long non-coding RNA (200 nucleotides) under Elaeis guineensis (African oil palm). Its description in RNAcentral is "long non-coding RNA (EGUI_LNC027895)". Lineage: Eukaryota; Viridiplantae; Streptophyta; Magnoliopsida; Arecales; Arecaceae. The record is from RNAcentral.
AUAUUAUUACCAAAUUGCUUAUUAGAUCUUCUUAAACUUUUUCCUUCUUCAUCAUAUUAUAUAUGCAUUUCAUUAACUUUAUAGGGUCUUUAGUCUAUUAAAUAAUUCUAAGAGACAAUUUAGGGGUCCUAGGAUUGAGGAAGAGAAUCAUAAAGUUUUAUUGAGUUCUUUAUGUUGCUUUAGGUCUCAUUUGCAUUACC